This 252-nucleotide long non-coding RNA is filed under the name Anas platyrhynchos platyrhynchos (common mallard). Its description in RNAcentral is "lncRNA (ENSAPLG00000027822.1)". Lineage: Eukaryota; Metazoa; Chordata; Aves; Anseriformes; Anatidae. The record is from RNAcentral.
UGUACUAGAAGAAGAGGGGUUAAUAUGAAAAUCAGAGAGAGCUGAGGCUGUAUCAAGAAGCCAGUACAGGUUGAGUGGAUUUUUGCACAGGGGAAGCAUCUGUAGACAAGAUGAAACAACCACUGUAUAAGCAAAGACCUGAAAGAGUUUUGUAAGGAAUAGCAGUCCAUUAUAUCAACGGAGCAAUCCUGUAAUCCUUGUGAAGAAGCAAUUAAUCUCCAGUGAUGUAAGGAGUGAAAUACUGCAGCCUGG